RNAcentral lists this unclassified non-coding RNA (229 nucleotides) under plant metagenome. RNAcentral describes it as "partial contains small subunit ribosomal RNA, internal transcribed spacer 1, and 5.8S ribosomal RNA". The record is from RNAcentral.
UCUCCGUAGGUGAACCUGCGGAGGGAUCAUUACAGAGUUCUCGCCCUCGCGGGUAGAUCUCCCACCCACUGUUAUCGUUACUGUGUUGCUUUGGCGGGCCGCCGGGCCCCGCUCGGCCGCCGGCUCCGGCUGGCGCGCGCCCGCCAGAGGCCCAGCAAACUCUGAAUGUUAGUGUCGUCUGAGUACUAUAUAGUAGUUAAAACUUUCAACAACGGAUCUCUUGGUUCUG